Molecule: long non-coding RNA, 1968 nt
Organism: Oreochromis niloticus (Nile tilapia)
Lineage: Eukaryota; Metazoa; Chordata; Actinopteri; Cichliformes; Cichlidae
Source: Ensembl
AGACUUCUGCUCAGCACUGUGUGGGCACGCACAGAUUGUGUUUUGUUUACUUGUUUAUCACCUUCCUGUUGGUUUUGUUGAACUUGCUAGGCAUUGACGAUAUCACAAAAAUCCACAACAAAAGCAUGAUCAGCUAAAAUUCAAAGUGCAUGAUCCCAUCACAGCUGCCCUAAGGAAAUGCAGGUUUAUGAACUUAUUAUCAAAUUCAGGGAGUACACCUGCAUUUUGCAUCAUAAUCAGUGGCGGAGCGGGGGGGUGGCUUACUGGGCUUAAGCCCGGGUUGUUUUUUCAGAAGCCCGGGGUCUUUUGGAGUGUAAUUUUUUCAUAGUUAGAUGCCUGACUGACAACUGUAUAAAACAAAAAACUACACGCAAUAUUCGAAGCACAUAGUGCACACUGUGGGAAUUUACAACUUUGCGUAAAUCCCCCCUAAUAUUGGUAUGAUCCUCAGGCACUAAGCGGGCGGGGCAGCUGCUGCCUGCGAGUGCGCUGUUGGAGAAACGGAGCCAGGCAGACAGAUGAGAACUGAAGUUCAACCAGUUGUUACCCUUCACGGCUAAAUAAAUCGGUUUCAGUAAUGUACUGAUAUACAAGAAUGGACAUAAGGAGCUUCUUUCAAAGAAAAAACUCAGAUGUCUCCAAUAGAUGGGAGGAGAGCCUGGAGAUGAGUCCUUGCACACGCUGGCUGAAGAUAAAAUGAAAGAAAAAUGAGUCAAUUAAUGGGAACCAAAAGAGUAAUGUCUUUUGACAUGUGGAAUGAAGUGUGAAAAGACGCAUCUCAUACCUGAGGCUUCUCUCACCUUCCUGUUAUUUUGGGGUUUCAUUUUCUCUCAGCAUCGAUCUGAUUUGGACCACAGAUGUGGAGGAGAAAGAGAGGAUAAUAGGGCAUCAGAGAGCGAGACUUGUUCGUUUUCUUUAAGACCGUGAGUGUCAGAACAUUAUCUGCUUUUUAGAGGGUGCUGUUGUUCAUAAGCAGCCGACUGGAGAGCCCUGCUUGCUGUACCUAAUCGGGACUGAGAGCGUGACGCCCUGAUUAAAAACCCACUGAAAGCACUCUCACAUGCACGCACAAAACACACACACACGCUGUCCAUGUCUGCAUUAAAAACAAACCAAAUGUCUCUUAGAGCCUGCAUCAUUUCUCAGCUUCAUUCUCAGCCAUACCAAAAAAAAGUCCAUUAUGUUGGAGGUACACAAAAUAUACUGCGUUUAUAUUUAAGGUUUGCGUUCUGUGGGUGGAAAGUUUUAUAUCCAUUCUAAUGAAUUCAUUUUCACCCUUCCAUUUGAUUUAUUUCCUAAAAUAAAAACUAGCAUUAUACAGAAUAAUACACCCAUGACUCACUAGCAUCAUGAUAGGGAAGCAAGUUUUGAACUUUCUAGACUACUCCACUGAUCAUAACAGAAAAUGACACUACAACCUCAUUAGCACAUGAGCUCUAUUUGUAUUCUAAUGAACUGUGAAAAAAAAAAUGCCACUGGGAAUAUUCUAAGAGUCUGGUGUAAAAUAUAAAGUAGCUUAAACCAUCAAGGAUCACGUCUACAUGUAAAGGUCUUUUGUUGUUCCACUUUGAUGAUAAUUUUGGUUUAGGUAUUAAAUAUGGAAUAGGAAAAAAAAUGCUAUUCCAUUUGAAAAAAUGCUAUUCCGUUUGUACCUGUGCAAAAUGUAAAAAAAAAAAAGGAAAAAGAAAAGAAAAAUAAGUGUAGUAAAGUUGGAAAAAAGUUAUUUUAUUUCUCGCUGCCUGGAAGAGCAUUUAUGGACUUAAACAAUGAUGUAAAAGACAUUUUAAUUGUUUUCCAGUUGAAAAACUCAUAACACUAAGGAGAAAACAAACCAGUGGUAUUUAUGGUGCAUCUCAAAGACAGACAUUUAGAUGUAAUAGCGUAAUUGAAAAAAAGUUGUAAUGCUGAGAAAAAUAUGGAGAAGCAGAUAAAUAGCUCAUGAUCUGAGGCAUGCCACAUAAUCUGUCA